CUUCUCAAAGACUUUUUGGGGGUUUAGCUCAGUUGGCAUCGGCUUUGCAGCCGGGGGUCAAGGGUUCGAGUCCCCUUAACCUCCAUUU
Molecule: transfer RNA, 88 nt
Filed under: Borrelia hermsii
Lineage: Bacteria; Pseudomonadati; Spirochaetota; Spirochaetia; Spirochaetales; Borreliaceae
Description: tRNA-Ala
Rfam family: tRNA (bases 18-85)
About the family: Transfer RNA (tRNA) molecules are approximately 80 nucleotides in length. Their secondary structure includes four short double-helical elements and three loops (D, anti-codon, and T loops). Further hydrogen bonds mediate the characteristic L-shaped molecular structure. tRNAs have two regions of fundamental functional importance: the anti-codon, which is responsible for specific mRNA codon recognition, and the 3' end, to which the tRNAs corresponding amino acid is attached (by aminoacyl-tRNA synthetases). tRNAs cope with the degeneracy of the genetic code in two manners: having more than one tRNA (with a specific anti-codon) for a particular amino acid; and 'wobble' base-pairing, i.e. permitting non-standard base-pairing at the 3rd anti-codon position.
Source: RNAcentral